Molecule: long non-coding RNA, 1740 nt
Organism: Esox lucius (northern pike)
Lineage: Eukaryota; Metazoa; Chordata; Actinopteri; Esociformes; Esocidae
Source: Ensembl
AAAACUAUCAGUAAUUGAUUGGAACGUAAACAAACGUUUUUGGUAAAAAGGGUGCGAGUCCUAAUCAAUCAACCGUCACUAAUGUUACCUAUCAUAGCUAAGUUACCUGGAUAACUAAGUUACCUGGAAAGCUAAUUAGCCACACAUUCACCCAACGACCAACAAUGGUGCUCAUUGAGUGUCAUCAUGAGCAGGAGUAAGGGUGGCAGUGACAUUCAUCAGUUUUUUGGGCAGCCUCAGAAAAGAAAAAUAAGCUGAGAACAGUGAGAAAAUGAGUAAUAGUCAGAUGAUAGAAGUAUACAGUAGCACAAGAGAGUAAAGAAAGAGAGGAAGUGAGAGAGAGCGUGAGGAUGACAACAGGGCCAGGGAGAGCAGGUGACAUGGAGAGAGACAGAGGAAGAGAGAGAGGGAGGAAGUGACCUAUAUAGAAAGCUGUUCCGAGCCCCAUCCAGCUCCAGCUGCCUGCUGCAUUUCAAGAAGGGGGCUCCUAUGAAUAAUGCAGAGAAUGCCUCAACACCCUCAACACCACAGCCUUCAAUAAAACCAUCCUUAAUGAGUGUUAAUGACAGUGAGGCGCUGAGACAAUCAAAGGCUGUGUAUGUGUGUGUGUGUGUUUGAGUGUGUGUGUUUGAGUGUGAGAGAGGUGUGUGGAGGCGCAGAGCAGUGCCAUUGCCCUGGGCGCAGUCAAGGUUGCCCUAGGUGAUAUCUGAGACUUUGAAAAGUACAUGAAAGCUCGAGGAACUGACAGGGCAAGCAAACCCAUGGUAUGUGUAGGUUACCUAGGGCGUUAAUGGAAGGACGAUACUGGGAGAAAUUUUUCUGGGGAUGUUCAUGAGUUUGAAUGUGACAUGGCUUGGAUUUUUCUGGUUACUGUCAAUAGUUUAGGCUUUGAAUUUUGUGGGCUUACUUUUUUUUCAGAAGGUUACUGAACUUUCAGAUAACACUGUCCCAAAGUUUCCAACUGAGUCCUUUUUAAUGGUAGUCUACAGAGCUCCAUACUUGGCAGUUCUGCCCCGGUAUGUUGGACAUUGAUAGAUGGACUGAGACACACCCUCCUCAGACUGACCCGUCAGGGCCACCCACCCAGCAGAUGUAGAGAGCCACGACUUGCGUUCACGUGUCAGCGCCCAGAUAGAUGUUGCCUGGGGAAGUACAUGGUCAUGAUGAAUAGCCUCUGCACGUCCACCAUCCCUCCAGCCAACCACAGGUCCUGGACCCACAGUGGAGGUUUGGCUCUGACUAUAUAUGAGAAACAAUGACAGCUGGUUACGAUGUUGACAUCUGCUGGAAGCACAGAUGUCAACUUCAUGAGGGUUUUGUAAUUUUUCGGUUUUUUUAACAAAAAACUGAAGUUAGUUUCAGAACUGGACAUUAGGUAUUGUCUGUUAUGUAUAGAAAACUUAAAUAGGCCUACUAGUUACUUUGAUAGGCCUACUAGUUCAAUGCAGCAUGAUGCUCAGUGAACCAGAACCUGGGUUUUCACACAGGACUGAGUCUCGUCACCCGGGAUUUGAUAGCUAUGCUAAUGUGAAAUCUGGAUGAGAAGCAUAUUCAGAUCGGUGGAUAGGGUCUGCACAUUUAAAGGGUAAUUAGUAAAAGUUGGGUAGAUGGAAUGUUUUGUUUGUUUUCAGAUCUGACAUUAGUCUGGCUGCUUUCUCUAUACAAGUAGGGAUUUGCAACCCGCCGUUUCUCAAUAUAAUGAUUUUUCGGGUUGUCUUUAAUACUCCAAAUAUGAAUGAG